AGUCAUGAAUUGGGACUUGAAAUUCCAUAACAGCCAAGAUGGUGAAUGAUAAUGUGGAGCUGUUUAAGUAUUGACCACUUGGACUUACGGGCUGAUCUACUUCUUCCCCCUCAAACUCCAUUUUCAGAAUUCAGAUUCCACAAUGUUCAGUUUUUCCAAUGCCAACUUUUUAACAUACAUGUAUUUAUUUAUAGUCUCUGACUCUACCC
Molecule: long non-coding RNA, 209 nt
Filed under: Panax ginseng (ginseng)
Lineage: Eukaryota; Viridiplantae; Streptophyta; Magnoliopsida; Apiales; Araliaceae
Description: long non-coding RNA (PGIN_LNC013043)
Source: RNAcentral